AGACGUCUACAUUAGAUACCCGCGUAGUCCCAGCCGUAAACUAUGCGCGUUAGGUGUAUCGGUGACCACGAGUUACCGAGGUGCCGAGGGAAACCGUGAAACGUGCCGCCUGGGAAGUACGGUCGCAAGGCUGAAACUUAAAGGAAUUGGCGGGGAGCACAACAACGGGUGGAGCCUGCGGUUUAAUUGGACUCAACGCCGGGAAGCUCACCGGAUAGGACAGCAGAAUGAUUGCCGGGCUGAAGACCCUGCAUGACUAGCUG
This 263-nucleotide ribosomal RNA is filed under the name uncultured archaeon. RNAcentral describes it as "partial 16S ribosomal RNA". It matches the Rfam family "Archaeal small subunit ribosomal RNA", at positions 717 to 982 of the family's 1478-position model. The record is from RNAcentral.